GUCAGGCAUGGUGGCACAUGCCUGUAGUCCCAGCUACUCAGGAGGCUGAGGUGGGAGGAUCGCUUGAGCCCAGGAGUUUGAAGCUACAGUGAGCCAUGAUCACCCCACUGUGCUUCAACCUGGGCGACAAAGUGAGACCCUGUCUCAA
Unclassified non-coding RNA from Callithrix jacchus (white-tufted-ear marmoset), 148 nucleotides. It matches the Rfam family "Metazoan signal recognition particle RNA". Rfam says of the family: The signal recognition particle (SRP) is a universally conserved ribonucleoprotein. It is involved in the co-translational targeting of proteins to membranes. The record is from Ensembl. Lineage: Eukaryota; Metazoa; Chordata; Mammalia; Primates; Cebidae.